AGGUUGUUUCCCUGCAUGCACUGGGCGCCGUAGCGGGACGUGGGGUAGGGCUCGGCGCGCAGCAGCAGGGAGAUGAAGCCCGACAGAGAAACAACUGCAGCUUCCAUGAAGCCGCCUGGCGAAACGACUCCACCGCUGCCAGCGAUUCAGACGUUUGAUUCCAACCGAAGUGUCUUCCCGUCAACGAAGUCUUCGACAAAUGAUAUGAUGUUCGACACGGAAAAGAGGUGAUGUAAGCAGAACCAGGAGACCUGGGCGACCCCGGCGGACGCUGAACGGUCCUGAGACCUCUUCCAGGAACCCAGGAACCAGAUACCAGCAUUAAACACUCAUAUCAGCUUUCCAGGAAUACUUUAUUAUUUAUUUCAUCCUUAAUUUUCCUGUGAAAACAACUAGUUUAGAGUAACACAGGUUACUAAAAGCAACUAGCUGAGCUGUAUUUGUGUAGAAGGUCUUCAGUCAGGAGAGAAACCUGAAAAUUUCCACAUCUCCCAAAAAAAAAUGUUCAACCGAAAUAUAUCAGUUUAAUAAUAUUUACACA
Long non-coding RNA from Poecilia latipinna (sailfin molly), 541 nucleotides. RefSeq lists it as uncharacterized. The transcript is spliced from 3 exons. The record is from RefSeq and is a predicted model, not a curated record. Lineage: Eukaryota; Metazoa; Chordata; Actinopteri; Cyprinodontiformes; Poeciliidae.